Molecule: ribosomal RNA, 395 nt
Filed under: uncultured bacterium
Lineage: Bacteria
Description: bacterial SSU rRNA
Rfam family: Bacterial small subunit ribosomal RNA
Source: RNAcentral
GACGAACGCUGGCGGCGUGCUUAACACAUGCAAGUCGAGCGGUAAGGCCCUUUCGGGAGUACACGAGCGGCGAACGGGUGAGUAACACGUGGGUGACCUGCCCUCAGCUCUGGGAUAAGCCUGGGAAACCGGGUCUAAUACCGGAUAUGACUCCAUGACGCAUGUUGUGGGGUGGAAAGCCUUGUGCGGCUGAGGAUGGGCCCGCGGCCUAUCAGCUUGUUGGUGGGNGAUGGCCUACCAAGGCGACGACGGGUAGCCGGCCUGAGAGGCGACCGGCCACACUGGGACUGAGACACGGCCCAGACUCCUACGGGAGGCAGCAGUGGGGAAUCUUGCGCAAUGGGCGAAAGCCUGACGCAGCGACGCCGCGUGAGGGAUGACGGCCUGGUGUAACU